GGAUAAACGGAGCGUAAGCGCAGAUGUUACUACAGAUUUGACGACCAGUGAAGUCAAUCCAGAAGGAAAUAGAUCAAAGCGCAAAAUUAGUAAUGUGGAAAAGGAAAGGCAAAGAUUGGAGAAGGUUAAAAAAAAGGGAAAGACAAAUGUGU
Dendronephthya gigantea is the source of this 152-nucleotide long non-coding RNA. RefSeq lists it as uncharacterized. The transcript has 3 exons. NCBI's taxonomy places the organism in Eukaryota, Metazoa, Cnidaria, Anthozoa, Malacalcyonacea, Nephtheidae. The record is from RefSeq and is a predicted model, not a curated record.